AUUGAACGCUGGCGGCAUGCCUUACACAUGCAAGUCGAACGGCAGCACGGGAGCAAUCCUGGUGGCGAGUGGCGAACGGGUGAGUAAUGUAUCGGAACGUGCCCAUUCGUGGGGGAUAACGUAGCGAAAGCUACGCUAAUACCGCAUACGAUCUAUGGAUGAAAGCGGGGGAUCGCAAGACCUCGCGCGAUUGGAGCGGCCGAUAUCAGAUUAGGUAGUUGGUGGGGUAAAGGCUCACCAAGCCGACGAUCUGUAGCUGGUCUGAGAGGACGACCAGCCACACUGGGACUGAGACACGGCCCAGACUCCUACGGGAGGCAGCAGUGGGGAAUUUUGGACAAUGGGCGCAAGCCUGAUCCAGCAAUGCCGCGUGCAGGAUGAAGGCCUUCGGGUUGUAAACUGCUUUUGUACGGAACGAAACGGCGAGCUCUAAUACAGUUUGCUAAUGACGGUACCGUAAGAAUAAGCACCGGCUAUCUACGUGCCAGCAGCCGCAGUAA
This 500-nucleotide ribosomal RNA is filed under the name uncultured bacterium. RNAcentral's name for it is "partial 16S ribosomal RNA". It matches the Rfam family "Bacterial small subunit ribosomal RNA", at positions 30 to 523 of the family's 1533-position model. The record is from RNAcentral.